Molecule: ribosomal RNA, 467 nt
Filed under: uncultured bacterium
Lineage: Bacteria
Description: partial 16S ribosomal RNA
Rfam family: Bacterial small subunit ribosomal RNA
Source: RNAcentral
GACGAACGCUGGCGGCGUGCUUAACACAUGCAAGUCGAACGGAAAGGCCCUGAUAUUGUGGGGUGACCGAGUGGGGAAGGCGUGAGUAACAGGAGAGUAUCGUGCCCUAGUCUUUGGGAUAGGUUAAGGAAACUGGGGUUAAUCCAGUACAGCAGCCGCCCUGCCAUGGUGGGGGUGGGAACUUGUGGGCGGUUUGGGUUGAACUCGCGGCUUUGCGGUUUGUUGGUGGGGUAGUGGCUUACCAAGGCUUGGACGGGUAGCCGGCCUGAGAGGGUGACCGGCCACAGUGGGACUGGGAUACGGCCCAGGCGCCUACGGGAGGCAGCAGUGGGAAAUAUUGCACGAUGGGCGGAAGCCGGAUGCAGCAACGCCGCGUGCGGGAUGACGGCCUUCGGGUUGUAAACCGCUUUCGCCUGUGACGAAGCGUGAGGGACGGAAAUAAGUAAAGAAGCACCGGCAAACUACGU